AUUUCUUCCCCAAAUCUUGCAAAACCUAACCCUCCAACCCGACCACGCCGCCGCGUCCAACCAGACCACGCCGCCGCCACCACCUCCACCAGCCACUCCACCUCAGCGUAGGCUUCCGCCCCGAGCACAGUCGCCGCCGACCGCCUAGUCGUCGCCGAGCACCCUCCUACACCGACAAAUCCCUUGGCCGCUUCCUCCCCAUCCCCUGCUGCACCUAGCGCCUGCUUCCUCCCGAGGAAAGCUGCCGACCGCCCUCCAUCCCCACCACAACAGCCACCUCCUCCGCAGGUUUCCUCCGUCGAGCAGGCCUCCUCCUCCUCAAGCUUUCUCCCCCAAGCAGGGCCUCCUCCUCCACGAGCAUCCGUCCCCGAGCACUAAGUUGGGCCGCCUCAUGUUUCCCUCACCUGAGCAGGGCCCCUCUCCCGAGAAGCUCCACCUCCUGUACAUCCUCCCCCAGGUGCAGCGCCGCCUCCUUGCCCACCGAGAGCACUUGGCCGCAAAUUGUCGCUACAACUGCAUACUAAAUCAGUGAAUCCCAGUAGGAGUACUACAUGCAAGCUCUGGGAAGAUAAGUUUAAAGGCCGUGCUGCAAAUAUAGCUAGAGAACUUCUUUCUGUAUAUUUUGGUGCAAGUGUAGACUGAAAGUGGAGUACCACUUCUAGAGUUAGACAAUUUUAACUAGUGAAUGUGUUAGUUCUAUGACCCCACAAAAAAGAAUGUGUUAGUUCUAUGAAUAUAGAUAUAUGGGGUUUGAUCUGGAAUUUUCUUCUAUAAUUUUCUAUUUCUAGUUUGCCACUGCUCCCAGUCAUCUGAUUCUGGAAUUUUAUGAUCAAUAGUUGUCUAUCAUAGUAGAAAUCCCUUCAAGUGUUGCAACCUUUAUUAUUGAAUUGAAAAACAUUUGCUUGAUAAUUUAUCUUUUCUAGAGUAAAAUGAUAGCAAUUUGGUUUUGUACUGUCAUCCCUACUGGAAAUAGCAUGGCAUCAUGACUUAUUAAAUUACAAGAUCCCCUAUUGUUAAAACUUCUUUUAUUUAGCUUAACACUUAAGAACAAAUACAUCCAUAGCUAUGUUCAUAGAGAUGGUACAUAGCUUAAGAUGUGCAUGUGGUUCAGAUUUUGGAAAAGGGUCUACUGGCAGUGCCACGUACAAGUAAUAUAACCCUAGCAGUACAGUACCUUGUCAUGCAGGGCCACGAGUAAUAUAAGACUGCUAUUUUGUUGCUGAUAAUUAGAACGUUUGGAUGCUUGUUGUUUAGGUUGUGCGUCUAGGUUUGGUAGUAGUGCUGGUGUGUGUGGCUUAGUCUCUGAUGUUUUCAGUAAUGGAAAUUGGGAACUAUGCUCCUAAGUAGAAAAAUUGGAAGAAUUAGGACAUGAGGCUAGCUGAGUACCAUGCUCUUUUCUCCUAUAUGUAAUUCUUACAAACUGUUCCCUAAUUUUCAUUUGAUGCUUUCACUGAAAUAUAUAUUUUGGAUUGUUUGUCUUGUGAGCAGCGUGCAUCUUCUUUGUCCUCUCCAAGCAGCGUCAACUACUCCAUACAAGCACAUAAGCUUAUGCUCUUAUGAUUAUAUAUUUACUUUUGGAUACAUGUUUGCUGCUAUUUCAGAACAUUGAAACUUAUUUAGCAUUUCGUUUCUUAUAUGCUUCAUGCAAAUGAAACUGCAGUAAACAUAUGAACUGAGAUUUUGCUUGCCAUCUGUAUACAUGCCCUGAAUUUGAUUAGUCUUUUUAUGCAUACAACUACUGGAAGCUUUUACAUGUCCUCGAACUGAGCUUUUACAUGCCCUGUGUAUUCUGAAGAUUAGUCUUUUGUUAUUGGGCAGUACUUGAAACAGAGUCGUUGGUCUCCUGACAUAUAACCAUUUAUGAAGAGCAUAGGUGAUGCCUUCUCUUGUAUUCCUAUGCAUAGUCCAGUACUUUUUCAUGUGUAAAAAGUGGCUGACCUGGCAUAGUGGCAUUACACUUUUUAGUAUUUUGUACACAUCAGGAACCUUGCUAUAGAUACACACUGAAAGUUGAAAAUGAUGCUAGCAGAAAUAGGUGUUCUGUCAGCUACGCAUAUGUUUUAAAACAUGAUAUGACUACUUGCUUUGGAAUACUUAUCUGAUCCUAUCUCAUGUAUAUUUUAGUUAUUUCUAGACAAAGCUUUAGGAACCAAGUUCAUUUACAACUCAAAGUCUUGUGCAUUGAGGAUAAUUGAGAUACUUGCUCAUUCUGUACUUGUCAAAACGUAUGUGUAGAUAUUCUGCUCAUUUUGGUUGAUGCUACUACUUAAUUAAGGUCUUCUUUAUGAGCUUCUACCUUGUGUAAAUAACAUGAUUAUUUGGCAGCCUGGUUUCAUAUCUUUGAAUCUUAUGUGAAUAAACUAUGUCCAAGUGUUUGCUGUUCUUUGCUUAACUAGAUAUCAAAGUAUAAACAACAAGCUCAUGUACAAGAUGGCAAUUAUGGUGGUUAUUUAGUUUAUUUCAUUGAUUCUCGACAUAUUAAUUGAUUCUAGAGUCCUAGCUUUAUGCAAGGAGAUGUAAAAGAAGCAACAAGUAAUUUCCCUUCUCCUUUCUUUUACAAUUGUCAUGAUUUUAUAUGACCUUUUUUAGUUAAAACCUGUUGUCGUUGGUCUGGAUAUUUUGAUAAUUAAAAUUUGUGAUGAAUUCUUAAAUUGAUUAGGAAGACUGGAUGUGUAAAACUUUGUUUAUGUCGCUGGGUACAGGUCUUUUAUAUCCUUCCAAUACCUUGAACUAACUAUUUUCUCUGCGGUUACAUAUAUGCACAUCUUAUGCUCAUUUGCAGGGCUUCAGCAAAGUUUGGCCGACCUUUUGGUGGCUAAUAUUUAGAAGCUAUAUUUAAUCCAAAGCUUUUCUUUAACAGAGCAAUUCAGCUGGUACGUUUGCAAGUAAAUUUAUGCCAGUACAAGUACUAGUAGCAGAGCCGAGAACAUGUUAGGACAUGACGAUUAAUGGAUUAUUCAUGGAGGUUCCUGUCAAACUUUGCUAUCAACUAUGUGCCCAUAUCCUCUGGCACGCAAAAUCCCCCCUCAAGAGGCGAGCCAUUAGUGUUUGAUGUUGGCAUCAUCGUUGGAAGAUCUUCUGCACUAUCUACACGAUGUUUCUUCUACAUGAUAGCACUUCACGUCUACAUGAUAGCACUUGAAGACUACAUGACGUUUCUUGUAUUCGCAGCUCAAACCAUUUGUGUAGCUUAGUUUGAAAAAAAGAUCUUAUUGUCUUGCAUGUAAACUCUAUUUAGUAAUGUAGCUAGAUGCUACUGAACGCAUGUACAAAUGUCAAAAUACUAAAGUGUUUGUCAUUACGUGUUUGAGAUCUGCUA
Molecule: long non-coding RNA, 3319 nt
Organism: Triticum dicoccoides
Lineage: Eukaryota; Viridiplantae; Streptophyta; Magnoliopsida; Poales; Poaceae
Exons: 3
Source: RefSeq, a predicted model, not a curated record